Molecule: ribosomal RNA, 735 nt
Filed under: Triticum aestivum (bread wheat)
Lineage: Eukaryota; Viridiplantae; Streptophyta; Magnoliopsida; Poales; Poaceae
Description: partial small subunit ribosomal RNA
Source: RNAcentral
UAAAAUCGUAAAUAAAAGUUUAAUUAUUGUUAAAGUAUUAUAAUAAUCUUGAAAUCUUUUAGUAUAUUUUAUGAGACACUUAGUCUACUUUAAAAAAAUAUGUACUUUCAACGAGUCUUGCUACUCUGUUUAAGCUUAUGCGUCGGGCAAGCAGACGGUGUACAGGGAUCGCAUCGCUUGUACGUUGGAAAGGGGAUACAAAGUAGAUAGGCUUUUACGGAUUGUGACCCCUUUGUAAAGGCUACAAAAGGGGGAAGCGGUCAUAGCACAUCGUGGCGCCAUCUUGUGGGGAUCGCGACGAAAAACGGAACAGUACGUAGACAAACGAACAUAAAUGACAAAGAAGGGAAGAAGAGAGGCCAUCUAGACUCUGGCGACGACUACGGCGACACUAGCUGAUGCAGGUGCUGCCGUGAAGAAGGAAAAGUCGUCUCGAAGGUCAACCACCUAGGGACCUCGGUCUACGGUGGCGGCUGCCUAUGAUGAUGUACCUCCGGCGGCUUCUGGUCCUCAUCAAUCCUCCAGGGUCCGUCCUCCGGAACGGAGAAGCUAGUACAACGAAUACACGAUCGGAAGAAUUCCGUAGGAACAAAUUGAAUACAGAUAUGAGUCUAUAACAACGAAGGCGACUGCGAACACAUAGCUCGAACAUAAGCUCGGGAGCUCCGGGGACAGAACAUUAUAUUUCGAACAAAAUAAAAUUAAACACGGAAAUCAACACAACACUAUAGAAGG